Salvia hispanica is the source of this 741-nucleotide non-coding RNA. The record is from RefSeq and is a predicted model, not a curated record. Lineage: Eukaryota; Viridiplantae; Streptophyta; Magnoliopsida; Lamiales; Lamiaceae.
UUCGGAUUGUUGUUCCAGAGUUAUGUUUCCCUGUAACAUCAGAAAACUAGUACUCUGUGGAUGUGAAAUAAAUUCGGGAGUGUUGGGGACUCUAUGUGAUCUACAUAAGCUGGAAGUGCUCAAGAUAAACGCAUGCAGUUUUAAAAGCGAGGAGGAGACACGCGAUGAAAAGUGGGAGGUAGCAGAGGGAGAUGAGUUCCCCUCACUGCAGUUUCUGUAUCUCGAAUUUUUGAUUCUUGUGAGUUGGAUAGCUGAUGAGACCAACUUUCCCAUACUCCACCACCUCCGUAUAGAUAACUGCAUAUAUCUAGAGAAAAUCCCUAGCGGCAUUGGAGAAAUCCCAACGCUCCAAUUAAUAGAGUUGGAUGGAUGCAGCGAAUCCGCAGUCGCCUCAGCAAAAAGCAUUGUGGAGGAACAGCAAAUUGAAUAUGACAACAACGAUCUCGAACUUCGUAUCCUAAACCCACGCUAGUGAACGCCACUUCCAAAAGUGUAAGGAGUUGGAUGCAACGCAGCCUUGUGUCCUCAUAUGGAGCUAGUGCGAGAAUGAGCCAGCGACCUUCUUCAGUCAACGAGUUCCGUUUUCUGACUCGAUGAACAUCAUUUGUGCAAGUUUUUAUAUUGUAAUAUCGUUAAAGAUUCAAGAAAAUUUCUAUAAAAUUCACCUACUUUUGUACUAAUACAUACUAGUAUAUUUCAUAAUUACUGGGUUUUCGGAGUACUCUUUUCCUCGCAGCUUAA